This 1613-nucleotide long non-coding RNA is filed under the name Gossypium barbadense (sea-island cotton). RNAcentral describes it as "long non-coding RNA (GBAR_LNC006737)". The record is from RNAcentral. Lineage: Eukaryota; Viridiplantae; Streptophyta; Magnoliopsida; Malvales; Malvaceae.
ACAAUUUGCACAAAAAAAAACUUAAAGUAAAUAAUAAUAGAACGAUUUAAAAUGAGUGAUAUAAAAAACUUAGAAUAAAUAAUAGUUACAAACAGUUUUAUUAAAAAGAGUAAAUAAAGAAAAAAAGAAAUGAACAAAAAAGAUUAAAGACUAGAUUGAAAUCGAACUCAAACUUAGGGUACAAAUUGAAAAUAAAAAAAUAAAAAAAACUAAAGAGGAUCAAAAUGAGAUGCGCUGAAACAAGUGGGGGACUAAAUGAACAAAUAGUCCAAUUUUAGGACACGCGUUCCUUCCCCAGCUUGGAAUACUCGGGACUAAAUCGAAACAUGCGAGAGGUAUUUGGGCAAAAUUUAAAAGAAAAUAAAAGGUAAGUAAAAGGACUAAAUUACAGCGUACUGUGAAGGUAGAGGGACCAAAGGGAUAAAUAUCCCUAAAGGGAAAAACGCGCGGAUCCCCCCGGAGUGGGUCGGGUCGCGCGCGGGUAUGCUAAAAACGACGUUGUUUCGGCGUUGAUGUCCCAGGUGCAAAACGGCACCGUUUUGCCUUAUUAUUUAAGUAAAAAAAAAAUUCAGUUUUUCAUUUGCUUCUUUUUCUUUUUAAAAAAAGAAGAGAGAACACCCCUUCUGUCUACCCAUGUUCUCUGUUAGGGUUUCAAGAACCCAUUUUGCGCUGUCGCCAUGCCUGCCGAUCGAGAGAAGACAGUUUAUCCCCUCCCCUUUUGGGUUUGAUUUCGGCGACAGAGAAAGGGUCUCCGGCGACACGACCAUGGGAGAUUUCGGGUAAGUUUCCCCUCUUCCUUUUUUAUUUUAUUCUUUUAUUCAAAAUCGAUUUGAAAUAGAAAUAAGAAAAUAGGAAAUUGAAAAGAAAAAAAGAAAGCGAAAUCAACCUCUUUUUAACUUCUGUUUUUGCUCUUUUAUUUCUUGCGUGUGUAAAAAGUUACAAAGGGAUCGAAUGUGGCUUUUAUAGCCGAAUACACGCUCGUUUUUGUUUCUAUUCUUUGUCUAUUUCUUUAUAUUUUUUCUUUGUUGUUUGCUAUCGUUUUUUGUCUUUUUGUUCAUUGUUUUCUUUUGCUUGCGUGUUGGUCUCUUUUUGCAGGUGAUGUGAACAGCCAGACGCAUGCGAGGAGGCGUGCGACUGCCAAGGGUGAAAGGGGCAUGCGGCGGCUGAAGCUUGAAGGGGCUAGGGUUGCUGAAAUGUUUUGUGUAGUUGGGCUAGGGUUUCUAGACUUUUAGGCUUGUUGGGCUUGUUGGGUUUAGAUAGUUUAGGCCUAGGUUUAAUAUGUAAAUGGGCAUUUAUUGGACUGUAAAAAUAUUUGGAAUUUGGUUUAUUUAUUUGGUUUUUAUUUUAUAAUUUGGCCAGGCCAAAAUUGGCCCAUUACACUCAUAUUUCAUCUCUUUAAGAGUUGGCAUUCAACAAAGCCAAGUUCGAGCUACAAUUAAGAUGGAUGAGAAAAUGCAAGAUAAUUAUAGUUUACGGAUUCAAAAGUUGAUGUACAAUACAAGUAUGUACGUUGUUAGUGCUUCAUCAAAUUGGGCUUCACCACCCUCAUUUCAUCCAACCACAAUCUCGUUAGCUACAACUUUAUUUACAGACAACACUUUGCUAGCAAGUGG